CAAAAAUGACAGUUUAACUCUUGUGUCUUCCAGCUCCAACACCUCAACUCCAGUCUAAGAGACAGACAUCAGACAAAUUCCAGAUAGACUUCAAUGAAAAAAACAAGUCUAAGAUUCUCAAAGCUGAACAUGAGCGCAUGUAACUUGUGAACAGAGUCUUCACUGUCUCACGGCUAAACACACUAGAGAUGAGAGACCUUGGAAGGCAGGCCACUGUGUAUUUGAAACCCCAAGUGUCACAUGAAAUGUUAGGGUUCAAGGAUGUCCAUUUUUUAGAAGACUGGAAGAGAACUCAGGCUUUUGUAGUUCAUAUCUCAAGAGUUUGGCCUCCUGCUAUCUUCUGGAGUUAUUCUUGAGGACUACAAAACCCAAAGGAGAAGAACUGACUUUAUCUAAGACCACUCAUGGAACAGUCCUAAUAAGCCAAGGCAAGCAGCAUCAGAAUGAAUCCUACCAGGCUGAGAUCUUGAUACUGCACUUCUCCAGAAAUAGAACAUAUUUCAGUUUUUUAAUGCUACCUUCUAUGACGUUUGGUUGUAUGGAAGGUUGAAUGUAGACAAUCUCCAAAAUAAAAUUCUUGAUAUUUAACUCCAA
Molecule: long non-coding RNA, 594 nt
Organism: Cavia porcellus (domestic guinea pig)
Lineage: Eukaryota; Metazoa; Chordata; Mammalia; Rodentia; Caviidae
Exons: 2
Source: RefSeq, a predicted model, not a curated record